This 790-nucleotide long non-coding RNA is filed under the name Vulpes vulpes (red fox). RNAcentral's name for it is "lncRNA (ENSVVUG00000001029.1)". The record is from RNAcentral. Lineage: Eukaryota; Metazoa; Chordata; Mammalia; Carnivora; Canidae.
CUGGUUUCCAUGUGUCUGUAAGGAGGCACCGUCUUCCCCCAGCAGCCAGCACCUGGCUUCAUGUGUGCUUAUCGCGCAGGGAGACAAAGCCGGAGGCGUAGGAACUCUGUAGGACUAAAUAAAAGGAGCACGGACCGAGCACAUGAUGCUUGGUAAAAAUGAAAUUUUAAUCGAGUCUCUGUCAACCUUUCGUCGCUUCCUUGGUUCUCUCGGUACCGGUAGUCGGAGCGCGUGUCCUUUGCAGCUUAUGAAUCAGGCCGCUGAUGGUCUCAGCCCUCCGCCGCCCCACUCGCCGAGCGGGAAGGACGCCAGCGACCACUCUCUGUUCACUCCAUCGCUGACAGUGAGUUAAAAAUACUUGGCUGGUGAGAAAGGUGAGAAAUGGAUGACUCAGUCCCUCCAAAUAAAGAAUCUGCCGCUGGAACGGAAGGCUGGUCAGAGCCAGCGCGCUGAGGAGUCGUUUUUAGGCCCUGUCCUGCGAGGCGACAUUCAAGAUUACUCCUGCUUCAUCCUGGCUGCCUUACGUGGAGUCUCUGCAGCGCGUGCGAUGUGUGAUGUUGGAAAAGCCAGGCCGUUCCUCUGUGACUCCAUGGGGCCUUCCCUGUGGGUUGCUGCUCUGGCUUGGCCCCUCCAAUGUUCAAGGAUGCUGUGAGGCGCAUUUACCUGCUCUGCGGUCUGGUAGGGAUCGUUUAUUUAUUUCUCCAAGGCUCAUUCCACAAAGGAUUCGAAAGUGACAGGCUUUCGGCUGACACUUUCUUUGGAGCCCCUGUAUGUAAAUGCUAGGGUGCUG